This 9977-nucleotide long non-coding RNA is filed under the name Triticum aestivum (bread wheat). Its description in RNAcentral is "long non-coding RNA (TAES_LNC008586)". The stretch from base 5200 to 5268 matches the Rfam family "tRNA". The record is from RNAcentral. Lineage: Eukaryota; Viridiplantae; Streptophyta; Magnoliopsida; Poales; Poaceae.
UCCGCGACCCAGUUCGCCGCUCCCUCUGCUGGAGCCUACCCCCACACCGACCUGGGCCGAGCCCAUUGGUGAGAAACCACUAGAUCCCGCCUGUCGGGGAUAUACCCCGCGGUAUGACCCGGCCGGAAGUAUGACCCGGCCGGACUUGGCGCUUCACCGUGACCCGCCAAAGGACUGGCGACUCACGGGUCUGGCGGCUCACUGUCAGAUGACUCACGAGCCUGACGACUCACGGAUGACCCCGACGGCGGGUCAGAUAGAAGACUAGGCCCAAGGCCCAGAUGGCCGGCUCAUAUGAUGGUGGGCCGGUUUAAGAAGAAAGGGAUGAAGAAUAUUUCCUUUACGAGGAAGCAAGACCCGGACUUGUAAUUAACUUGUAAGAAAAGAUAGACUAGUCCUAGUCCUACUAGGACUCCACAUGUAACCCGCCUCUCCAACUUAUAUAAGGAGGGGCAGGGCACCCCAAAGAGGGACGAGCAACAAGAAACAAUCUCUAGGGCUAGACACAAAGAGUCGGCUUACCGGCGACUCUCAUAAGCAUAAUGAGACCUAGCCUCAAACAACACGUAGGGUUGUUACCGGAUGAUGUUUCCCAGGGCCCGAAGCUGUCUAAACCCUUGUCUUGUGCGUUGAUCCGCCCUACGUCUCUCAUCCCAAUCAACCCCUCUCAAGCUACUACAUAGAUGCGCUGGCCUCACGACUAAUUCCUUACACCUAGGACAUCUGACGUGUUAAUUCCACGACAGUUGGCGCCCACCGUGGGGCUAGGCGCACGGUGGUGUUGAGUUCUUGGAGGGAUCUCUUCAGGGAUCGAAGAGCUCGCGAGUAGACAGAUGAAGGUUUAUGUUCCAGAAGAUUAAGAGUGCGUCGGAUGUACUAUCGCCGCCGCAAGUUAGAGAUGUGUUCGAGAUCAAGCAAUGCAAGGAUCACGUCACAGGGGCCAGCAGGAGUGCAAGAGAAAUUUUUUGCAGUAUGAUUGGGGAGCAGUUGAAUCGCAAGUCGCCAGGCCGUGUUUUCCUGUUACAACACGUUUUUUCUGACACACCCAGACCCGAGGUGUUUUGUCGCUACAGGCGACUUCCAAGUCAUAGAACGUCCAUCAAUCGUGCCAACUACUGCUGCAUGUUAUCGUACAAAGGACAAAACAGGAUCUAUGCUGCUCACGUGGGUUGAGUGCUAGUUUAAUUCUCAGAAUUGCUAUCUCGGAUAGCUAUACAUACAUGGAGGCAGGCUGUACAAGGAAAUAUGAGCAGAGCCGUCCAAUCAACAGCGCUGCACUCGAGAAAGAAAGAAAAGGGCGUGGGGUUGCCGAGUCAAAGUACGACCCGGAGAAAGACAGGGACGUGGCCGCAGAUUCGGCCCUGUCCUACGAUGCUCAAGCUUCUGCCUGUGAGCCAGCCGAGCGGACAUCUGACUCGCCCGCGCCAAAUCACCGCCUUCACCAUUAGCCGGGGCUGCCUCCGAUGUGCCUCCUCUGCCUAGGCCCACACCUCGACGCUGCUCCAUGGCUGUGCUGCUGCCUCGAGACGGCCAAGCUGCUGUUCGCUUGCACGCGUCGCCGUUGCUGCUCCUUCUACGAGCGCUACAGCUGCACCUCCACUAUGAUCUGCCGCUGCUGCUUUGUGCAUAAAGACCAAAAUCUAGUCAUCAACUACUACUCCAUCAUCCACUAUGACGCAUGAAGGCACUAGUCAAACUGAUGGGUCAAACCAAGCAUGACCCGGAGGAGACCUCGGUCGCAUGGAGUCGGCCUCGCCUCCUAGCGAUCAUCAAGAUAUCGUCGCGCCUCCGGACUGGGUCCUGCCGUCGCCGCUGUUGCACUUCUGAACCACCGCCGCACUGGGUCAUCUUCUACCACCGUCAUCGACCCUAGGUGCCGCCACUGCUGCUUUGAGCCGCCGGCCCCCAAGCCUCCCAAACCCCCGGCCUCCAAGUGUUGCGAGCCGCCCCGACCGAGUUUCCAUUGAGCCACCCCGGCCAAAGCGACUUCAUCUACGGCCUUCACACCUCUGAACCGGCCAAAGAGUAUACUACAAUUUGCACGCAGUGAAGAUUAUACAAACUGCGGCGAACUCUCGCAAGGCCUUUGAGAGGAUCAACACAAAAAUUGUUGGUUAUCUACGGAUGCCAUAUGGUGAUCAUCUGUCACCUAAAAUCAGGUGAUAUUUAUCUUACAUAUAUUGUUAGGUACAUGUUGAUUUCCUUCGACAAAAAACUACUCCGCCCUGUUGUAUGUUUUGUACGCAGGACAAUUGUGGUUUAUACCAUGGGUACGGAGCACGUACUUGCAACAUUGCGCUCGGUGUUCGUCCGUGCCUCGUUUCCCGGUAAAUGGACGUGCAAGCCGCCACCCUUGCGGCCCGGACUACUUCAACUCAUCGGAACCGUCCCUGUGAUUGACUCGCCCGUCCGCACCGCCUUACAACGCCGCAGACGACUUGCCCGUCCGCCCUCGCGGCCGGUUCACGCAUCCGCGCCGAAUUACAACGCGGAGGACAACUUGCUCGUCCGCACCGACUCACAAACACCGUGGCCGGUUUAUCUGUCUCCUCUCGCGGCCGAUUCACCCGUGAAGGAUUCCAGUUUCACCUAGGGAUCAUCAACUUCAUGGCGGAUUAUUUUCGGCCCAAACACAUCAGGUGAUAUCCAUCUAAAAUAUAUUUUUAGUACAUAUUAUUUUUGUCAAAGAAUAGUUUAUCUUUGCCUUCGUCUGCAAUAUUGCUUAUACAGGGCAAUUAUUUAUGACAAAAAGUGAUAUUAUACUGCAGAGAUGGAGGCACACCAACAUCUUUUGGCACAGGUGGUCUUCGUUAUUCAACGGACCCUCGCACCGGCUUACAACGCCGUGGCCGUCUCUCGCGACCGCGCCGGCUUACCACGCCGUGGCCGUCUCUCGCGACCACGCCGGCUUACAACAAGGAGGACAACUCACCCGUCCGCACCGGUUUACAAUGCCACGGCCGACUCAUCUGUCUGUGCCACCUCUGAUGUUACGGUCGUCUUUACCGUCCGUCUCUCGCGGCCUGAUCUACAUCAACACACCAGGCCGCACUUGUCUGGAUGAGUUGUUUAUUGAUUAUGAGCAAGUCACUACUUGGGAAGCCCGGUUUUCUUCCAACAAACUGGAGGCAAAUUAUCAUACAUUAUCAGCCGUCAUCUGCACUGGAUGGUUCAAUGGGCAGGCGCACGAGUCGCCGUCACUACAGUUUGGUUAAACUUCAAACAGCUAGUUGGAAGGAACCAUUGGCCGAGUUGCUGACACGGCUCAUACGGGAUCAUUUAUAACCCGCCGCAGUCACCUUAACCUUCUGUGGAUACACAUCGUGUUAUCAACACCAAUUAUAUACAAGUUAUGUCGGCUUAUAUCACGGUUAAAUAUGGAGAAUCUCAAGCCAACUCCUCGAGUCAUCUUGAGACUCGGGGGCUACAGUGGCAUGACUCGAGAACCCCGGGUCGUUGAAGGGAAUGAUAACCCGGUUUCGGAGGCUGCUACCAUAUUGAUGAAACUUUAAAGGCCGUCAGAAAAUUGCUGGUUCAAAUAAAGAUUCCGGUUUAAAAUCCGGUUCAAGAGAUAUCUUUCUCCCGCAAAGUUUUGAAGUUCUCAAAUCCGGUUCAAACGUCCGGCUCAAGGUAAAUUUAUAUCUUAUAAAGCUUUGAAGCUCUUAAUAUCCGGUUUACAAAUUUCCGGUUCAAAAAGAGGUUAUCUCUCGCAAAGUUCGAGUUCUCAGGAAAAAUUAAAGGGACCAAAGAGAGUCUGUUACAAAGCACAACUCAAAUAUAGGUACCCUGCUUUAAGGACCAUUGGGAGCUGAUCGUAUUUGAAUUUAGCCUAACCCUUUUGGUGUGACCCUGAUCGUAUUCGAAUCAGAGUCGUUAAAUAUUCUCAUGAUCACUAGGGGGCUUCCUGUUCAAACAUAUGUCGUAUUCGAACCAAAGAGAACAUAGCUGUCGAUACCCUUUUGAUUGGCACACUGCCGAGCUCAUUGGGGAGUUUCUUGGUCAUAUUUGAACCAUAGCUCAACCCCCUUUGGGAACCGACAUGGAUCGUAUUCGAAUCAGCGUCGUUAAACAACUCUCAAGGUCAUUUGGGGGCUUCCUAUUCAAACAUAGGUCGUACUCGAACCAAAGAGAACAUAGCUGUCGGUACCCUCUUGAUCGGCAACGCCAAAGCCACUGGGGGCUAUAUGAUCAUAUUCGAAUCUUAGCUUAACCCCUUUGGAACGGUUUUCUGAUCGUAUUCAAAUCAGAAGCCUCAAAAAUUUUGAAGUCUUUUUUUGCAAACAAUUUUUGGAUUUUAUUUGAAGCUCUUUUUCAUAUCUAAAGUGUAUAUGAGUGGUUGUUAUUUAACCCGGCUUGAUUUUCAAUGGUAAAUCGCCAGCUUAUGACAAUCAUCAUCUAUGUGGAAGCAUUGGCUUCAAAGGAUUGGGUUAUCACCCUUACUGCAUAGGUCAUAUAAACUGGCAGUACAAAAUCAAUAUCACAGUGGUUAUAUGUGAGAUAUUAUGACCCGCCCUGCGGUAAACCGCCAAGGUGUCUUGUGAUCUACUUGUGUGCAGGAUAAGACUACAUUUGGGUGGUUACCCGCCCUGGCUUUUGACGUUAAGUCGUCAGGGCAUAUGUUGUUUAAACUCUAUGCAGGAUUUGCAGAACUAUGACUUAUAUAAAGGUUUAAGUCCAAGCCCGUCAUCGAAAGAUUGACAUUGGUGUCUCAAAAGGGUUAUCAAUUCUUGAUUUUCUCGAAAGGCUAUAAAUAGUCGGGUUAUAAAAUUUCCGGCUUACAAUAGAGGCGUAAUAAAUCGCCAUCGGCCAAGAGCCGCCGGGUAUUUAAAACUCCGGAUUUACUUGUCAACAGAUAAGAAACUAAUAUUAUGGUUGAGGUUUUCAAAGUCGCUUCAGCGCAAUUAUUUUAUCAAUGGAUAUGAUUUAUUCUACAACGGAAGGAAUAGUUCCGAGUCGCUGCAGGCUUACAACCCGGCACUUGGGGGAUACAUUAUUCAAGUUGAGAUUACAUCAAAGAUGCAAGUCCCAUGUCACUGCUAGCAUGCACCAUGGCACUUGGGGGCUAAUGCAAAGUCAUUUUUUGCUCAACUUAUUGAAGACCCGACUCAUCACAUUCUAAAUGAGCCGGCCCUUGGGGGCUACCAAUUGGUCCUGUCAAAAAUUCAAGGUACACAAGCAUUAAUCCAUUAUAUUGAACGGUCCACUACUCAGUUGGUAGAGUACAAAGCUCUUAACCUUGUGGACGUGGGUUCAAGCCCCAUGGUGGAGAUUAUAUUAUAUGAUGUUAUUAUCAAUAAAUUAUAUACAAAGUCCCAGCUUAGUAUUAUCUUACUAAGCCGGCACAUGGGGGCUACGAGUGAUAUAUAUAAGGGGGAAAAUCUUCAAAAUUCUCAGUUUGGAGAAGAUCAAGUUGACCCGGUGUUUGCAACAAUCAUGAUCCGGUGUCACCAAAUAAUUAUGACCCGGCGUCAGUAAUAGUUAUGACCCGGUGCUAUCAAUAUUUACAAACCGGCAAUUUUGGUUAUGAUAAACCGGCAAUUUUUACCUCUUCAAGCCGGCUGAAAGUCAGAUGAGUAUUUCAAGACCAAUAUCUUUUAAAGCCGGUGCUUUGGAAACCGAUUCAAGUGGAUUAUCUCUUACAAUAUUUCUCAACAAAAGACCACUGUCAGCAAAUUGACACUGAAGCUGGCCUGUUGACCCGGAUUUUUUCAAAGGAAGUAUCUGGAUUUUUUGCAUUGGCAAAAUUUGAGCAUAUCCGCUAAAGAGAUUUGCUAUGAGAUUAUGGAUACAUAUCAAGAAGGAAGAUGACAAGGACUUAAGGAUGAUCAAGUGCCGGCUUACAAAGAAUAUUUAACCCGGAACACAACCUGUCAAAUUUGUUCUUGUGUUUAUAUUGCAGAUUAGUUUAACAUGGAUGAAUCCAAAUUAAACUGGGGGCUAAUGUCGGGGAUAUACCCCGCGGUAUGACCCGGCCGGACUUGGCGCUUCACCGUGACCCGCUAGAGGACUGGCGACUCACGGGUCUGGCGGCUCACUGUCAGACGACUCACGGAUGACCCCGACGGCGGGUCAGAUAGAAGACUAGGCCCAAGGCCCAGAUGGUCGGCUCAUAUGAUGGUGGGCCGGUUUAAGAAGAAAGGGAUGACGAAUAUUUCCUUUACGAGGAAGCAAGACCCGGACUUGUAAUUAACUUGUAAGAAAAGAUAGACUAGUCCUAGUCCUACUAGGACUCCACAUGUAACCCGCCUCUCCAACUUAUAUAAGGAGGGGUAGGGCACCCCAAAGAGGGACGAGCAACAAGAAACAAUCUCUAGGGCUAGACACAAAGAGUCGGCUUACCGGCGACUCUCAUAAGCAUAAUGACACCUAACCUCAAACGGCACGUAGGGUUGUUACCGGAUGAUGUUUCCCGGGGCCCGAAGCUGUCUAAACCCUUGUCUCGUGCGUUGAUCCGCCCUACGUCUCUCAUCCCAAUCAACCCCUCUCAAGCUACUACAUAGAUGCGCUGGCCUCACGACUAAAUCCUUACACCUAGGACAUCUGACGUGUUAAUUCCAGGACACCGCCCGUGCGCUUUUUAGCUAAAAAGCGCCCAUCCUAUUUUUUUCCCUGAAUUUGACCUAGUCCCAAGUAAUAAUAACAGCAUGUGUGCAACUUUGAUUGCUUGUAACUUUUUGCCUGUAGCUCCGUUUUGCAUCCAUGAUAUAUCAAAAUGUUCAUUGCGAGAUGCUCUUCAUUUCAAUCCAUUAUGCCAUGCUUGUUUGUGUUGAUGUUUAUGCCCUAAUCGUCGUUCCAAAAGUGUUAUAUGCUGUUAACUGUUGUCUGUUAUCAGAACUUGGUGAUUUGUCUUUUUCAUUGCAUUUUGUGUGUGCAUCCUAUGAGCAUGAGCCCUACAUGUGUUUUAGAAUACAUCAUUCCAUCUUAAAGUGGUGCUAGUCUUGUAUUUUUAGGAUCUCUUUGGUUACUAGCACAAGCAUGCAAAGUAGCCUCCGUGAUGUUGCUGAUUUCUGUGACUUGGUAAUUUCUGCCAAGUCCGAGUCUGUUAUAUUUUGUUGCCAUGUAAACCUGCUGCUACAAGUCAUUCUAUGCCUAAUCAGGAGAUGUUCACUAAAGAUGUUUUGUUAUACAUAUUAUGCUCUAUCGAUCCAUGCCCUUGUUUGCAUUUAUGGCAUGCUGUAGCUUGUUGUUAUCUCGCUCUACUUUUGCUAUAAAAUGUUCCUGGCAUAUUGUUUACUUGUUAAUCAAUUUUGCCAUGGUUGUUACUAGUGAUCCAUGUACCCUAUGACUAUGCUAUUGCCAUGCUUUGCUUACUAUUUAUGCCUUCUUGAUGUUGGUUGACUUCAAAUGCCAUAAAAUGUUCUGUGGUGAGUGGUUCAAGCUCACCAACAUGCCUACUUAUCGUUAUUUCUGCCAUGCUCUGUUUUUCUUCCAAGUCUGAAUCUGUUUAUGAAACUUGCUAUGUUUACAUGGGUGCCAUCAUAUCUUCUGUACCUUUUUGUCUCGUGAUCAGUAAGGGACUUUUAUUCUAUGCAAUUGGUAGAUUCAUGCCAUGCCUUUGUUUGCUAUGUUAUGUUCCUGCAGCAUGUUGUUUGAUAGCUCUAAACUUUGCAACCUGAUGUUAUUUCUCCCAUGUCCAGUAAUUUCUGCCAAGUCUGUGACCUGUUAUUAUUUGCAAUCUUGCCAUGUCCUUUUGAGCAUGUUCUUGUGAUUUCCGGAGAUAGCUCAGUGUUCAUAUUUUGUCAUGCUUUACCUGUACAUCAUGUCCCUUCCUUCUGUUUUCAUGUUGAUGUGCUGUGCAUGUUGGUUUGCUGCUUGUAAGAUGCCUAGUUGCUGUUUUGGACAGAUUGUUGAUAUAUCUUGUUUGGAGUGUAUGUGUUGCACCAUUGCUCCGUUUUGAGCAUGCUCUAUAUGAAACUUGCUUAGUUUUGCAUGUAGGUUCAUAUUACCUUGUUGUAUCCUUGUUUUGAGGUGUUUUCUUGAUGUUUGAAUGCAUUUUGCAUCAAUGCCAUGUUUAACUUGUUUUGCUCAUAUCUUCUAGGCCGUAGCUCAGAAUCUAAUGAACUUUAUAUGUAACUUGACUAGAAUUUCGUGUAGAUUAUCUUGGUGCAUCUUAACAUGCUGCUUAACAACUUGAACAUAAGGUUUAUUCAGAUCUGGACCAAUUUCGAAAUUUGCAUAUGAGGACUUACCGGAUUUGUUAUAUGUUGUUUCCGGCCUCAUUUAAACUUGCUUUGAUGUGUUGCUCUUGUAUGCAUCAUCUCUUGCCAUGUGUAGCUUCAUAUAGCCUUGUCAUGCAUCAUACUUUAUUGAGCUUCAUGCCUUGUUCAUGUGUGCUGUGUUUACCUUGUUGUGUGCUUCUUCUCGAUAGUUCCCGUGUCGUUGCGAUCGUGAGGAUUCGUUCGUCUUCGUGGCUUCAUCUUCUUCAUGGACUCGUUCUUCUUCCUAGAGGGAUUUCAGGUCAGAUGACCGUUACCUUGGAUCUCAUUACUAUCAUUGCCAUGCUAGUUGCUUCGUCCUAUCGCUGUGCUGCCCCACCUAUCACUUGCUCUUCGAGCCUCCCAAAUUGCCAUGAAACCACCUUUAACCUUUGUCACCCUUCCUAGCAAACCAUUGUUUGGCUAUGUUACCGCUUUGCUCAGCCCCUCUUAUAGCUUUGCUAGUUCCAGGUGAAGACGAAGAUUGCUCCAUGUCGGUUAAUGUUAUGUUGGGAUAUCACAAUAUAUCUUAUAUUAUUAAUGCAUCUAUAUACUUGGUAAAGGGUGGAAGGCUCGGCCUUAUGCCUAGUGUUUUGUUCCAGUCUUGCCGCCCUAGUUUUCGUCAUACCGGUGUUAUGUUCUUUGAUUUUGCGUCCCAUACGUGGUUGGGUGAUUUAUGGGACCCCCUUGACAGUUCGCUUUGAAUAAAACUCUUCCAGCAAGGCCCAACCUUGGUUUUACAUUUGCCUCACCUAGCCUUUUCCCCUUGGGAGUCGCGCUCUCGAGGGGCAUCUUUAUUUACCCCCCCGUGCCAGUGGUCCUUCAAGUGUUGGUCCAACCUGUUAGUCGCCGGUGGCCACCAGGGGCAACUCUGGGCUGGCCUACCGGAAGCUUGGACAAUCCGGUGUGCCCUGAGAACGAGAUAUGUGUAGCUCCUAUCAGGAUUUGUCGGCACAUUCGGGCGGCUUUGCUGGUAUUGUUUUACCAUUGUCGAAAUGUCUUGUAACCGGGAUUCCGAGACUGAUCGGGUCUUCCCGGGAGAAGGAAUAUCCUUUGUUGACUGUGAGAGCUUAUAAUGGGCUAAGUUGGGACACCCCUGCAGGGUAUAAACUUUCGAGAGCCGUGCCCGCGAUUAUAUGGCAGAUGGGAAUUUGUUAAUAUCCGGUUGUAGAGAACUUGACACUUGACUUAAAUAAAACGCAUCAACCGCGUGUGUAACCGUGAUGGUCUCUUUUCGGCGGAGUCCGGGAAGUGAACACGGUUUAUGGGUUAUGUUUGACGUAAGUAGGAGAUUCAGGAUCACUUCUUGAUCAUUGCUAGCUUCAUGACCGUUCCUUUGCUUCUCUUCUCGCUCUUAUUUACGUAUGUUAGCCACCAUACUUGCUUAGUCGCUGCUGCAACCUCACCACUUUACCCCUUCCUUACCCAUUAAGCUUUGCUAGUCUUGAUACCCAUGGUAAUGGGAUUGCUGAGUCCUCGUGGCUCACAGAUUACUACAACACCAGUUGGAGGUACAGGUUAUGCGAUGAUCAUGACGCGAGAGCGAUGUUACUUGUUUUGGAGUCCUUCUUCUGCUUCUUCUUUGAUCAGGGGAUAGGUUCCAGGUCGGCAGCAUGGGCUAGCAGGGUGGAUGUCGUUUGAGCUUCUGUUUGUGUUUCUUCCGUAGUCGGAUAUUGAUCUUAUGUAUGAUGUAUUGAUGUAUUCUUGCGGCAUUUGUAUGCCUAGUAUGUAUCCACAUCUACUAUGUAAUGUUGAUGUAAUGAUAUCCACCUUGCAUAAGCG